AAUAAUUUAAUGCCACAUCGGUAUUUUCAUCCCGAAUUUUAGUAUUUUUAUUUUGAAAAAAUUUAUAUCCAAAUAAAAAUCCUAAAAUUCAAGAUGGAACUGCAGAUGUGACAAUAAACUAUU
Molecule: microRNA precursor, 123 nt
Filed under: Gossypium barbadense (sea-island cotton)
Lineage: Eukaryota; Viridiplantae; Streptophyta; Magnoliopsida; Malvales; Malvaceae
Also listed under: 1 other name
Description: MIR7504 microRNA precursor family
Rfam family: MIR7504 microRNA precursor family
Source: Rfam by way of RNAcentral